UCUCCGUUGGUGAACCAGCGGAGGGAUCAUUACAGAGUUGUAAAACUCCCAAACCCACUGUGAACAUACCUCUGUUGCCUCGGCGCAGGCUGGGAGCUUCUGUAAACUCCCCCACGCGGACUCGCCUCCGCGCGGAGCAGGCCCGCCGGCGGCCCCUACCAAACCUCUUGUUUUUACAGUGUCUCCUCUGAGUUACAAACACAAAUGAAUCAAAACUUUCAACAACGGAUCUCUUGGUUCUGGCAUCGAUGAAGAACGCAGC
Molecule: unclassified non-coding RNA, 262 nt
Filed under: uncultured fungus
Lineage: Eukaryota; Fungi
Description: sequence contains ITS1, 5.8S rRNA gene
Rfam family: 5.8S ribosomal RNA (bases 214-262)
Source: RNAcentral